This 189-nucleotide small RNA is filed under the name Pan troglodytes (chimpanzee). RNAcentral's name for it is "processed transcript". The record is from RNAcentral. Lineage: Eukaryota; Metazoa; Chordata; Mammalia; Primates; Hominidae.
CCGCCCCCUCUCCCUCCGCACCCCGCCCUUCCCCCGCGCAGGGGCGGGGCCCCUCCCCCACCGGGGACACCCCUGACCCCCCCGGGGGCGGUGCGAGAAUACCACUUGGGUCGCUCGAGGAGGAAGAGUGUCCCAGGGGGGAAGCAGUACAGCAUGGAGGGUGCCCCUGCUGCGCCCUUCCGGCCCUCG